Molecule: long non-coding RNA, 640 nt
Filed under: Homo sapiens (human)
Lineage: Eukaryota; Metazoa; Chordata; Mammalia; Primates; Hominidae
Description: non-protein coding lnc-CHIC2-4:1
Source: RNAcentral
AUGACGGAGACCUUUGUGAAGGAUAUCAAGCCCAGGCUCAGGAGUCUGAAGCUUAUCGUUAUUGUGCUGGAGACAGGCCAAGACAAAGGAGGGGCACAAGGUUCAGACCUGCAAAGUGGCAGACAAAAUGGGCAGCCUCAAUAUCUCCGUCUGUGAUGACAUCGGCAAUCUGAUCCAGCCUGGGGACGUUGUCUGGCUCAACAAAGGGUGCGCUUCAGUUUUCAAAGGUUGUCUGACACAGUAUACUGGCCAUGGGGGUGAUCUACAGAAGACUGGAGAAUUCUGUAUGGUUUAUUCUGAUUUCCUAACUUCAAUGAGCCAAACUCAGAGUAUAGCAACCAGCAGGCGCCCAACAAGGUGGUGCAGAAAGACAGCAACCCUGCAGAACAACAGCAACCCUACAGCUUCCCAGCCUACCACUCGUCCCCCUGCUGCUUCUCCAGCCUCUGAAAGCCAGAAUGGGAAUGGAUCUAGUAACCCACCAGGGUCCUGGUAGUGGCCCACAUCCCCCUCAUAGUCCGUCCCACCCCCCCAGUACCAGAACCCCUCGAAGCCAGGCCAACCACACACCUGCAGGCCCACCUGACCCUUCAGCCCUGUUAGUAACGGCAAAGUAGCCCGGAGGAGCAGCAAGAUAUAG